Molecule: ribosomal RNA, 301 nt
Filed under: uncultured bacterium
Lineage: Bacteria
Description: partial 16S ribosomal RNA
Rfam family: Bacterial small subunit ribosomal RNA
Source: RNAcentral
CAGCAGCCGCGGGAAUACGGAGGGUGCAAGCGUUAAUCGGAAUUACUGGGCAUAAAGCGCACGCAGGCGGUCUGACAAGUCAGAUGUGAAAUCCCCGGGCUUAACCUGGGAACUGCAUUUGAAACUGUCAGGCUGGAGUCUUGUAGAGGGGGGUGGAAUUCCAGGUGUAGCGGUGAAAUGCGUAGAGAUCUGGAGGAAUACCGGUGGCGAAGGCGGCCCCCUGGACAAAGACUGACGCUCAGGUGCGAAAGCGUGGGGAGCAAACAGGAUUAGAUACCCCUGUAGUCCCUGUCUCUUAUAC